GCAAUCUACCUUUUACAGAGGGAUAGCCCAGAGAAAUUUGGAUUAAUACCUCAUAGUAUUACGAAAUGGCAUCAUUUUGUAAUUAAAGUCACAACGGUAAAAGAUGAGCAUGCGUCCCAUUAGCUAGUUGGUAAGGUAACGGCUUACCAAGGCUACGAUGGGUAGGGGUCCUGAGAGGGAGAUCCCCCACACUGGUACUGAGACACGGACCAGACUCCUACGGGAGGCAGCAGUGAGGAAUAUUGGACAAUGGGCGCAAGCCUGAUCCAGCCAUGCCGCGUGCAGGAUGACGGUCCUAUGGAUUGUAAACUGCUUUUGCACAGGAAGAAACAACUCUACGUGUAGAGUCUUGACGGUACUGUAAGAAUAAGGAUCGGCUAACUCCGUGCCAGCAGCCGCGGUAAUACGGAGGAUCCAAGCGUUAUCCGGAAUCAUUGGGUUUAAAGGGUCCGUAGGCGGUUUAGUAAGUCAGUGGUGAAAGCCCAUCGCUCAACGGUGGAACGGCCAUUGAUACUGCUGAACUUGAAUUAUUAGGAAGUAACUAGAAUAUGUAGUGUAGCGGUGAAAUGCUUAGAGAUUACAUGGAAUACCAAUUGCGAAGGCAGGUUACUACUAAUUGAUUGACGCUGAUGGACGAAAGCGUGGGGAGCGAACAGGAUUAGAUACCCUGGUAGUCCACGCCGUAAACGAUGGAUACUAGCUGUUGGGAGCGAUCUCAGUGGCUAAGCGAAAGUGAUAAGUAUCCCACCUGGGGAGUACGUUCGCAAGAAUGAAACUCAAAGGAAUUGACGGGGGCCCGCACAAGCGGUGGAGCAUGUGGUUUAAUUCGAUG
Molecule: ribosomal RNA, 832 nt
Filed under: uncultured Bacteroidota bacterium
Lineage: Bacteria; Pseudomonadati; Bacteroidota
Description: bacterial SSU rRNA
Rfam family: Bacterial small subunit ribosomal RNA
Source: RNAcentral